UGAGGAUUAAGGCACUCAGUGGGGUAAGGAUCAAGAGAAGUGGCUGCUGGGUCCUUGGAGCAGGUUUCUGAACCAGUCUGAGCUGUGUGCUCACCAAAGAGCCUGUAAAGAGAAUAUCUGCUCUGUCCCAUCACUGACAUCCAGGCUGAGAUUUAGCAACAGGCUGUCCUCAUCCCCAACACACAGAUCUGUUGCCACUUCUCCUAACGUGUCUCAGCAUGCCAAGAGGUGUGACUUGAGGGAGGGCAGAAGACAGCUGGGUUGCACAUCUGGAGAAAGACUUUGGCAAUAGUUUGCAGCUCCAACACACCUCCCACCUGGGCCUGUUUCAGGGUGGGACAUGUCCUGUGCUGCACCACUACCAUGUUCCUGCUCUGUGACCCAGCCCAUCCCACAGCUGGAGAGAGGCUGUACUGCUGUAUGAGGCUUGCUGCCCUUGGGGAUGUCUGAGCUGAAGACAAGUCCUGGGGAGGUUGAAACCAGCUCCUGAAGUGUGCUGGGCAGGAAGCUUUCCUGAUGUCUGCAUCGUAAGGAAACAAGCUGAUCUCUGUCUUAGUGAUCUGGGCAACGGCUGUGGAUGGCAGAGGGAGGCAACUGGAAGGGAAUGCACCAGCACUUGCUUGCAUCUGGUAUCUUGAUCCUGCAGUUACAGAUCUGAAAAGCAAGACUAGGAGAGGUCUAAGGGUGGAUUCCUGUGUAGGGCCCUGCUUAUGGCCUUUUGGGUCUGGGGGUGUGGACCUGUUAAAGACAAAUUCUCUUAAGUAAAUUUCUGGACAGCAAACCCUGGCUGUUGGAGAGCUGCAUUUCCAUAAAGCAGCUUGUGGCUCUUGGUCACAAGAUUCACUACCAGCUCUCAGGGGAAAGGGGUUUUGGCUGCCUCUCCACUAUGCAACACUUUCCAGGCAUUACAGAACAGCUGUAUCUGAAGUGAUGCAAGGUGCUGUUGCUAACCCCAUGUCUCACUUUGUGUUAGCACAUUUCCCACAACAUCCACUCGUACUGAAGCUGGGCUAACUGGGAAGAUGGCAGAGCUGCAA
Molecule: long non-coding RNA, 1037 nt
Organism: Pogoniulus pusillus (Red-fronted tinkerbird)
Lineage: Eukaryota; Metazoa; Chordata; Aves; Piciformes; Lybiidae
Exons: 2
Source: RefSeq, a predicted model, not a curated record